UUUGUUCCUUUGCUCCACUCUUACCAACCUUUGCUCUGAUUUGUGCCAUGAGGACUAGAAACCUGGAAACCUACGUUUCCCAGCUACUCCAUCUCCCCACACCGCAGGCUUUCUGUUAUGUUCUGAUGAUGAACUACUGCAGGAACAUAUCAGGAAAGCCAAGAGAAUCCACAGACCCUUUGAAGGAACUGUACCACCCCUGCAGACUCCCUGAGAUGCCAAAAACUGUGAAUCUGCUUGCUUUCUCAACUGGGAGGCUCAUGGUCUGGGCUUAACUCCCACUUAUAAGUGAAAAUACGUAAUGGUCUCC
Molecule: long non-coding RNA, 310 nt
Filed under: Homo sapiens (human)
Lineage: Eukaryota; Metazoa; Chordata; Mammalia; Primates; Hominidae
Description: HSALNT0320543
Source: RNAcentral